AAUAGAUACCCAGGUAGUCCACGCCGUAAGCGUUGGAUACUAGGUGUGGCGGUUAUACCAAUGACUGCCGUGCCGAAGCUAACGCAUUAAGUAUCCCGCCUGGGGAGUACGGCCGCAAGGCUAAAACUCAAAGGAAUUGACGGGUCCCCGCACAAGCGGCGGAGCAUGCGGCUUAAUUCGAUGCAACCCGAAGAACCUUACCUGGGUUUGACAUCACGGGAAAAGCUGUAGAAAUACAGUGUCCAUUAGGGCCCGUGACAGGUGGUGCAUGGCUGUCGUCAGCUCGUGUCGUGAGAUGUUGGGUUAAGUCCCGCAACGAGCGCAACCCUUGUCCUAUGUUGCCAGCGGUUCGGCCGGGGACUCAUAGGAGACUGCCGGGGAUAACUCGGAGGAAGGUGAGGACGACGUCAAGUCAUCAUGCCCCUUAUAUCCAGGGCUGCACGCAUGCUACAAUGGCCGGUACAACGGGCAGCGACCCCGCGAGGGUGAGCGAAUCCUAAAAGCCGGUCCUAGUUCGGAUUGAAGUCUGCAACUCGACUU
RNAcentral lists this ribosomal RNA (540 nucleotides) under uncultured bacterium. RNAcentral describes it as "bacterial SSU rRNA". It matches the Rfam family "Bacterial small subunit ribosomal RNA", at positions 777 to 1318 of the family's 1533-position model. The record is from RNAcentral.